Marmota monax (woodchuck) is the source of this 861-nucleotide long non-coding RNA. RefSeq lists it as uncharacterized. NCBI's taxonomy places the organism in Eukaryota, Metazoa, Chordata, Mammalia, Rodentia, Sciuridae. The record is from RefSeq and is a predicted model, not a curated record. The transcript is spliced from 3 exons.
CUUGCAUGAUAGUGAUGUUCUGUAAAGUUGUUUAUGUUCCAAGGGAAAACACCAAGGUCUUGCGGGGGAUGACUCAGUAGAUCAUCACUGAGCAGGAAUCAAGAGGACACAAAGACUGAAGAACAUGGAAGCAGCCCUCCCAGAUCUCUGACUGCAGGAGGUGAUCCUGAUUGAAGACCUCCCCAGCUGCUUUGUCAAGACAUCCCAGCCUUCACACCCAGGCCACACUUCUCAUGGUACUCCAAGCUGAUGAUGGAACCCAGUGGAGAUACUAAGCCUGCUCCAUGGUGAUCCUCUCUCCCCAGGCAGAGCACGAGGGAUUUGCAGAAAUGCCUACCCCAUCAUGUCUUUACCUGGCCAACACAGAACAACAGAUGUUUCCAAGCCAUUAAAAGAGCUGGGACCCUCUGGAAUUUGAAGCUCUCCUGAGUGAGCACAGCCCACCAAGAGUUCAGUGGGGUGCCAAGAGACACAAGGAUUCCUAAAUACUUCUUGAAAGUCCACAAAUAGAUUCCUGCUGAAACAGUUCAGAUGGGCAAACCACAUUUUAACUGAAUUAAGAGAUAUGUUUCCAAAUGCAUGUUUUUAUGAUUUUUUUCAAUGCUUAAGAUUUGUGUGCCAAUUUGUUGUUAAGGUGACAACAUUUAUGUGACACUGUUUCUAGUAGCCUAUUAUAAAAGUUAUGUGUUGUUGGAAAAGUAUGAAUUAAAGGAACAAAAUUGACAAAACAUUUUUUCAAUUUGGAUAAAUAAUAUUCCACAAACAGAAAUAUGUGCUUAUGACAGACCCUAGUUUUGUCAUAUUUUUGUGUGCGUGUGUUGUAUCCUUAUAUGAGAAUAGUCUGUGAUUUAUUGCUAUGUA